AAACGAUUCACUGUCAUUAUUACCGGGGAGAAGAAAAACACUGUAAACAGCAGCAGGAGAGAAGGAACGCUGCUGCUUUCAAACAGACGGACACACUAGUGUCCGUCUGUUUGACGGACACACACACCCUAACACAAAACACACACACACAUUAACACACACACAACCACUAAGACACAUAACACACAGACUAACACAGUCUGGUCCAGGUCUCAGUCCGUCCACUAACGUCCUCACUUUGCUUGAUGUCCUCUGUCCCAAAACUUGACAUAAAGACCAACUCUGAGCCAAUCAGCAGGCUCCGUCUGAUUUAAGGAGACGUGACCCGACUAGUGAGCAGCAGCACAGAUUCCUGCUCUUUAAGGUGGAAAUGAGUUUUUAUCUGAUUCAGUGAAACGUUUAAAAUUCUGGUCUCCGUGAAGCURUCAACAUGUUGCCGUCUCUGUUUACCUUCAGGGGACACAACUACCCUCAGCCGUCCACUCAGAGGACACACACACACACGCACGCACGCACGCACRCACACACACACACACGCACGGAGACGCUUCACACUAAUGGACCUGCAGCCUGCCGAUCCUCUGCAGAAACAAAGUAAACAAACAACAAAACAGGAACCAGAGGAUGAAAAACCUUCGCUGUGUCGACACUUUGUGGCUGAAUGCAAAGGAGCGAGCGGCCGCUGGCGGCUGUAAACUGCUCUCUCCUCCUCUUCAGGCUCCUCCUGCAUUAUUAAAGACAGAAACUAUCAGCCGGCUCCGUCUAAGCGCUGGAUGGAUGGAAAUAUGGAGAGAAAUUAAUAUCUGAUUCCCCAAACAAGUUGAAAUUAGUUGUGACAGAUCGACUGGACCAACAGGAUUUACAUUCCUGGCCACUGCUGCUUUCCUCUCAUCCAGAACCAGACACGCGUCGCUCUGCUAACGGCUCACAGGAAACCCAAAGAGUGACGGCGAACAGAGGAGGAAGCAGCUGCAGCAUCAAGAGACGCUGCAGGCUGACAGAGCAGAGAUGCUGAGGUUCAGGCAGACGGUGGGAAGGUUCCCUGUUUAAAGAUGGAGAACCAGAAGGAACCUUGGUUCUGUCGUCAGUCAGACGAUAAAUCACACUGAGAUUAUUUAUUUAAA
Molecule: non-coding RNA, 1124 nt
Organism: Poecilia reticulata (guppy)
Lineage: Eukaryota; Metazoa; Chordata; Actinopteri; Cyprinodontiformes; Poeciliidae
Source: RefSeq, a predicted model, not a curated record